Molecule: ribosomal RNA, 268 nt
Filed under: uncultured Alphaproteobacteria bacterium
Lineage: Bacteria; Pseudomonadati; Pseudomonadota; Alphaproteobacteria
Description: partial 16S ribosomal RNA
Rfam family: Bacterial small subunit ribosomal RNA
Source: RNAcentral
UAGUGAGUUUGAUCCUGGCUCAGAACGAACGCUGGCGGCAGGCCUAACACAUGCAAGUCGAGCGCCCCCGCAAGGGGGAGCGGCGGACGGGUGAGUAACGCGUGGGAACGUACCCUUUGCUACGGAAUAGCCUCGGGAAACUGGGAGUAAUACCGGAUGAGCCCGUUCGGGGGGAAAGAUUUAUCGGCAAAGGAUCGGCCCGCGUUGGAUUAGGUAGUUGGAGAGGUAAAGGCUCACCAAGGCAUCGAUCAGUAGCUGGUCUGAGAGG